RNAcentral lists this ribosomal RNA (253 nucleotides) under uncultured bacterium. Its description in RNAcentral is "partial 16S ribosomal RNA". It matches the Rfam family "Bacterial small subunit ribosomal RNA", at positions 524 to 776 of the family's 1533-position model. The record is from RNAcentral.
UACAGAGGUCCCAAGCGUUGUUCGGAUUCACUGGGCGUAAAGGGUGCGUAGGUGGCCAGGUAAGUUUGGUGUGAAAGCUCGGAGCUUAACUCCGAAAAGUCAUUGAAUACUGUCUGGCUGGAGGGUCGGAGGGGAGACUGGAAUUCUCGGUGUAGCAGUGAAAUGCGUAGAUAUCGAGAGGAACACCAGUGGCGAAGGCGAGUCUCUGGACGACUCCUGACACUGAGGCACGAAAGCUAGGGGAGCAAACAGG